UAGAAAAAAAAACAGAAAAGGAAAAGAAAACAAAGAUAGAAUGGUAUCUUUACCGACAAAGGAUGAGAUGAAGAAAUUUUUGGUCGAUAGUGAAAAUCUAAGGUUUACGACUCUUUAUGAAUAACAACAAAAUCAGAAUCUCGAAAUCUUUCGGUAUACUAUCAUUUACUCUAUGAGAAGUCAUCAACCGAUUCAUCUUCUUCAAACAGAGAGAAGCAUAUGUAUCGAUCUGUUCAGAUGACUUAUCAGUUGAUUCUGAUGAUCGAUUUGUCCAAUAUGUUCGAAGAGCUAUUUUAAACAACAGAAGAAUCUAUGAAGGAAAUAACUUUUGAUAGGGUCAGAGUUGUUCAAGAACAACAAAGAGAAAAGAAGUUUAUCUUCUUCUAUAUAAUAUUUGUUCAUCAAGCUUCUUUUCAUAUAACCCUAACCAUCUAGAAAAAAGAGAAAGAGCUAUCAUAUCAACUCCAAGGAAUCAAAAUACAGGACGUCGUGAACGCAAGUGUUUUGGAAAGAUAGAAGCAGAGAGAGAUGGGAGUUGCAAACGAAGGGUUCCUGUUCUGUUCGGACAGAGACAUUUACGGUGAUGCUAACUUUGCAGGAACAUCUUAGGCCUUGUGACAUUUCAUUUGUAUUUAGGUUACAGAGCUGAAGGUAAAAUCUUCAAAGAGUUUGAAGACUAUGUGAAUCAAUCAAAGACUAUGAACUUCAUUCUUCUAUGAAGGAAAACAUCUUUAAUAUAAAAGAUAAGUUUUUUCAGAAAAUUUGUCUUUUAUCUAAUGUAUCUGCCAUCAGUAGAAGACGAUGUGAAUCAAUAAAGAUGUCUUUUAUGGUUUCCAAGAAUGUAGAACCUUAACAUGAACCAUCUUAGUGGUGUGCUUAGGCUUCAACUCGAUGAUGGGGUUUUUUGCUU
Molecule: long non-coding RNA, 910 nt
Organism: Raphanus sativus (radish)
Lineage: Eukaryota; Viridiplantae; Streptophyta; Magnoliopsida; Brassicales; Brassicaceae
Exons: 6
Source: RefSeq, a predicted model, not a curated record